CGGAGGUAUUAUUAUUAUUACAGCAUUCCGCUGUAUUGUUAUCACCGCAUGCGAGCCAUUACAGUGUUAUUAUUAUUACUGCCCUGUAUGUGCUGUUCAUCAGGGAUCCGCAGUUACGUACAAAUCUGACCUAAAGACAUUCUCAGGAACACAUCUCUGUAGCCCAGGCACUGCCUGUAUUUGUUUAGGAAUUUUCUAUCGGUCCCUUACUUAUGUAACUGCUACUUUAUAACCGGUCCCUAGAAGGGGGCGGGUCUUCCUGGAAGUUUUGACUGCUGUUGUUUUCAUUUUCCAGUGACUCAGAGCAGUCCCGGACUUCUGGAGAAGGUAGGCGACCCCACAGCUUAUCCUGGGGCUGGUUGCCACCCCCUGCACCUGCACCUGCGGACUAAAAUCUGCACAUUCUAACUUCUAUCCCAGAUCUGAAACCCAUAGGGGCUUCUUGUAACUGCAAGUCCAACAGAAACUCUGCAUCACCAUGGUGACCCCCUGUGGCCUACUCAGUGACAAACAGGAGCCAGUGCCACUUAAGAGUGUCUCUGUGAGCUUGUCCAUUAAUGAGUUUGUGACCAGUGUGUCUGCAACCCUCAACAUGACAAUAAGAAUUCCUUGGAGGGCCGCCUUUAUC
This 628-nucleotide long non-coding RNA is filed under the name Microcebus murinus (gray mouse lemur). RNAcentral describes it as "lncRNA (ENSMICG00000048325.1)". The record is from RNAcentral. Lineage: Eukaryota; Metazoa; Chordata; Mammalia; Primates; Cheirogaleidae.